UAAAGUGGCGAACGGCUGAGUAACACGUGGGCAACCUGCCCCUCCUCAUUGGGAUAGCCACGGGAAACCGUGGAUAAUACCGAAUACUUCGAGUCUCCCGCAUGGAAAACUCGAGAAAGCUCCGGCGGAGAGGGAUGGGCCCGCGGCCUGUUAGCUUGUUGGUGGGGUAACGGCCUACCAAGGCAAUGAUGGGUAGCUGGGUUGAGAGACCGACCAGCCAGAUUGGGACUGAGACACGGCCCAG
This 244-nucleotide ribosomal RNA is filed under the name uncultured bacterium. RNAcentral's name for it is "partial 16S ribosomal RNA". It matches the Rfam family "Bacterial small subunit ribosomal RNA", at positions 91 to 334 of the family's 1533-position model. The record is from RNAcentral.